This 123-nucleotide ribosomal RNA is filed under the name Bacillus subtilis subsp. subtilis. Lineage: Bacteria; Bacillati; Bacillota; Bacilli; Caryophanales; Bacillaceae. The record is from RNAcentral.
UUUGUUUGGUGGCGAUAGCGAAGAGGUCACACCCGUUCCCAUACCGAACACGGAAGUUAAGCUCUUCAGCGCCGAUGGUAGUCGGGGGUUUCCCCCUGUGAGAGUAGGACGCCGCCAAGCAUU